GCGUAACGCGUAUGCAACCUGCCCUGCACUGGGGGAUAGCUCAGGGAAACUUGAGGUAAUACCCCAUAUACUCAGCGAGGGGCAUCCCUUGUUGAGGAAAGCUUUGGUGGUGCAGGAUGGGCAUGCGUCCGAUUAGCUAGUUGGUGGGGUAACGGCUCACCAAGGCUACGAUCGGUAGGGGGUCUGAGAGGAUGAUCCCCCACACGGACACUGAGACACGGGUCCGACUCCUACGGGAGGCAGCAGUAGGGAAUAUUGGGCAAUGGGCGAAAGCCUGACCCAGCCAUGCCGCGUGGAGGAAGACGGCCCACCGGGUUGUAAACUCCUUUUGUCAGGGACGAAAGAGCGCCUGCGGGCGUGUGUUUGACGGUACCUGACGAAUAAGCACCGGCUAACUCCGUGCCAGCAGCCGCGGUAAUACGGAGGGUGCAAGCGUUAUCCGGAUUUACUGGGUUUAAAGGGUGCGUAGGCGGCCUUGUAAGUCCGUGUUGAAAGGCUACGGCUUAACCGUAGUAAGGCAUGGAUACUGCGAGGCUUGAGUACAGUGGGGGCAGAUGGAAUUGGUGGAGUAGCGGUGAAAUGCAUAGAUACCACCAGGAACACCGAUAGCGAAGGCAGUCUGCUACGCUGUAACUGACGCU
RNAcentral lists this ribosomal RNA (641 nucleotides) under Thermonema rossianum. RNAcentral describes it as "bacterial SSU rRNA". It matches the Rfam family "Bacterial small subunit ribosomal RNA", at positions 108 to 747 of the family's 1533-position model. Lineage: Bacteria; Pseudomonadati; Bacteroidota; Cytophagia; Cytophagales; Thermonemataceae. The record is from RNAcentral.